AACGAACGCUGGCGGCGUGCUUAAGACAUGCAAGUCGUACGGAAAGGCUCUCUUCGGAGAGUACUCGAGUGGCGCACGGGUGAGUAACGCGUGGGUAAUCUGCCUUCGGGUCUGGGACAACCCCGGGAAACUGGGGGCUAAUACCGGAUGAGACCACGAGCUCUUCGGAGCUUGCGGAAAAAGAUGGCCUCUCCUUGGAAGCUAUCGCCCGUCGAUGAGCCCGCGUCCCAUUAGCUUGUUGGUGAGGUAACGGCUCACCAAGGCUUCGAUGGGUAGCUGGUCUGAGAGGAUGAUCAGCCACACUGGAACUGAGACACGGUCCAGACUCCUACGGGAGGCAGCAGUCGGGAAUUUUGGGCAAUGGGCGAAAGCCUGACCCAGCAACGCCGCGUGAGGGAUGAAGGCCCUCGGGUCGUAAACCUCUGUCGGGAGGGAAGAACGGUUGCUCUUCGAAUAGGUGAGCAGCCUGACGGUACCUCCAAAGGAAGCACCGGCUAACUCCGUG
This 505-nucleotide ribosomal RNA is filed under the name uncultured bacterium. RNAcentral's name for it is "bacterial SSU rRNA". It matches the Rfam family "Bacterial small subunit ribosomal RNA", at positions 29 to 507 of the family's 1533-position model. The record is from RNAcentral.